UUUAAGCAUAUAAGUAAGCGGAGGAAAGGGAACUAAAUAGGAUUCCCUUAGUAAUGGCGAACGAACAGGGAUGAGCUCGGCUUGGAAACUGGGGCCUUGGCCUUGGAUUGUAGCCUCUAGACGUAGCACCAACGGAGGCGCAGGUGUAAGCCUCUUGGAAAAGAGCAUCAACGUGGGUGAGAAUCCUGUGUUUCAUCUGCAGUCCACCGUGCACGGUGCAUGUUCUCAGAGUCGCGUUCCUCGGAAUUGGAGCGUAAAGUGGGUGGUAAAUUUCAUCUAAAGCUAAAUAUAGGCUUGAGACCGAUAGCAAACAAGUACCAUGAGGGAAAGAUGAAAAGGACUUUGAAAAGAGAGUUAAAAGUGCUUGAAAUUGCUGAAAGGGAAGCGAAUGGAACCAGUCCUCUGGCUGAGAUUGCUGCAUGCUUUUGUGUGUGGUGUUUCUCAGCUUGUGAGUCAACCUUUGUUCAUGCUUGAGGAUAGCCUCAGGUUCACGACGCUUCCCUGCGGGGUUGCUCCUGUGCUUGCAGGGACUCAGGCGUGUACUUUGCGUGACAAAAUGGUUCUCUUCGACCCGUCUUGAA
Molecule: ribosomal RNA, 581 nt
Filed under: Gymnodinium sp. Corsica_2
Lineage: Eukaryota; Dinophyceae; Gymnodiniales; Gymnodiniaceae
Description: partial 24S large subunit ribosomal RNA
Rfam family: Eukaryotic large subunit ribosomal RNA
Source: RNAcentral